This is a non-coding RNA of Steccherinum ochraceum, 88 nucleotides long. NCBI's taxonomy places the organism in Eukaryota, Fungi, Basidiomycota, Agaricomycetes, Polyporales, Steccherinaceae. The record is from the annotation of a GenBank genome assembly.
UCGGAUAUGGUGUAAUGGCUAACAUUGCCGCCUCUCAUAUGCGUUGGUAUGUUCGCGGCAGCUCGGGGUUCGAUUCCCCGUAUCCGAG